This 494-nucleotide long non-coding RNA is filed under the name Homo sapiens (human). RNAcentral describes it as "non-protein coding lnc-SIX3-3:2". The record is from RNAcentral. Lineage: Eukaryota; Metazoa; Chordata; Mammalia; Primates; Hominidae.
UUAUAGUGCCUUGGAAGCAUGUCAUGUGCAGAAUCCGCUACAGUGUCUUUGAAAAUAGCACAGUCAAACAUUCAAAAUUUAAGUGACGUUAAUGGGGAAGAGAGGAGGAGGUGGUGGUUAUAGCCAUGUCUACACUACUCUUUACAGAAGACAUAGAUGUCAGUGGUCCUUCACUCGUCUCAGAAAACAACUCACGACUACAGCAGCUUGCAUGAUGAAAUGGAAGAUCAUCAUUUGAGCUAUUCCACUGAAGUCAAGCAUGAAAUCUAUUUAGCUGGAUAGCUACCCAUUUCCUGUGACCUGCAAAAGAGAUGCCCUAUUCUUUCAGGAUCCUUGGAAUGCCACAUGCCCAGGCCCACUGGAAAACUGGGAAGGAAAACUGGAGCCACAUGCCUGGGCCCACUGAGAUUCAUCACCCUUCCCCUACAACCCUGUGUCAAGGAAACACAAAGAUAGAGUGGAUUUCAGCACCACCCAAUGCAGACGCAUGGCUG